GGACUACUGGGGUAUCUAAUCCCGUUCGCUCCCCUAGCUUUCGUGUUUGAGCGUCAGAAACGCGCCAGUGCACUGCCUUCGCCUUUGGUGUUCCCCAUGAUAUCAACGGAUUUCACCCCUCCACCAUGAGUUCCGUGCACCUCUCGCGCUCUCGAGCUUAGCCGUUUCGCAUGCGGACCGUAGGUUGAGCCCACGGAUUUUACACGCGACUAACUAAGCCGCCUAGACACCCUUUACGCCCAGUGAUUCCGGAUAAUGCUCGGGGCCUCUGUAUUACCGCGGCUGCUGGCAC
RNAcentral lists this ribosomal RNA (292 nucleotides) under uncultured bacterium. RNAcentral describes it as "partial 16S ribosomal RNA". The record is from RNAcentral.